Prionailurus viverrinus (fishing cat) is the source of this 309-nucleotide long non-coding RNA. RefSeq lists it as uncharacterized. Lineage: Eukaryota; Metazoa; Chordata; Mammalia; Carnivora; Felidae. The record is from RefSeq and is a predicted model, not a curated record. The transcript is spliced from 3 exons.
ACAAGAAUAAUCUGGAAUGUCACUGUUCAAGUUAAAGAUACUCAAGGGAGUAAAAGGCUUACACUUCAUGAAUUCUUAUAAGUAGUCUCCCAUGUUUUGACUCUUCCCAGGAAUUCUUCAUAAGUGGUUAAAUAUCUGUACCACAGAUCUAUGAGGCAAUGAAUGAGGUGUGCUAUGUCACAGAGUUCAUCCUGAAAACAGCUUUUUUAAGGCCAAAAUUUAUAGCAGUUCACAGCACAGCCUAAGAUGAGUUGAAGCAUCCUUCCGAGCUCUGCAGCGUCAGAAUGUUCCCCAAUGAGGUUCACAUCA